GGGCGUAGCUCAGAUGGUAGAGCGCUUGCUUAGCAAGUGAGAGGUUCGGGGAUCGAAACUCCGUGCCACCA
This is a non-coding RNA of Trichonephila inaurata madagascariensis, 71 nucleotides long. The record is from the annotation of a GenBank genome assembly. Lineage: Eukaryota; Metazoa; Arthropoda; Arachnida; Araneae; Nephilidae.